GUUUUUUUAUCACUCAAUUCAAUAACUCUAGUAUUUUUAUUGUCAAAUGUGUCUGAUGAUUGAUUUUUAAUACGAGGUGUUACAUCAACUGGAGUUGUCAGAGUUAGAGUUGUUAGGGCUGAUCUUCUAUUUGGAUUGACACCUAAAUUUUCCCAAUUAAUCCAUGCCAAACGAGCCAUUAAAUCUUGGAAAAAAAUAAUAAGAAAAAUAACUCGUUCACUACUCAUUUCACCUCUAAGGCACAUUUCAAUGUACGUCAAGGGAUCAACAUUUUUAACUUUUAAUACUUCAGUUAACAAUGCA
This is a long non-coding RNA of Aphidius gifuensis, 303 nucleotides long. RefSeq lists it as uncharacterized. Lineage: Eukaryota; Metazoa; Arthropoda; Insecta; Hymenoptera; Braconidae. The record is from RefSeq and is a predicted model, not a curated record. The transcript is spliced from 3 exons.